AGAAAGGUUGACCAAAACUGUUGGCACAAAUUGAUCAUCAUCGGGAGGUCGACUAAUAAUCACAUUGAGCUACUGGAGAAAUACAAAGAUAUUGAUAGAUUACAAUACAAAUGGUCUUUAAAGUCCAGUUGGAAGCUCCUCCCUGUAAUUGAUGAAGGCAAGAUUUACUACUUCCAGGGAGUAAGAGAUCAAAGUACAGCAGCAUUUAAAGAAGUGGCAAUAAUUAGCCAUCCCCGUGCUGGUGAAUACGCAUUUGGAUUUAUAACAUCGAGCAUGAUUCUCCAGGUACUUGUUUAUGCACAUCGCUUUCUACAGAUAUUUAUGGCAUC
Molecule: long non-coding RNA, 329 nt
Organism: Triticum aestivum (bread wheat)
Lineage: Eukaryota; Viridiplantae; Streptophyta; Magnoliopsida; Poales; Poaceae
Exons: 3
Source: RefSeq, a predicted model, not a curated record